This is a long non-coding RNA of Paramormyrops kingsleyae, 908 nucleotides long. RefSeq lists it as uncharacterized. The record is from RefSeq and is a predicted model, not a curated record. NCBI's taxonomy places the organism in Eukaryota, Metazoa, Chordata, Actinopteri, Osteoglossiformes, Mormyridae.
CACUCGCAUAUGUAGCACCACGUGUGUGAAUUUUGCUAGGAUAAGAUGCAGCAAUUGCUGGGAAAGUUUUAAAAAAUUGUCCCUUGAAGCAACUUCUUACAUGCAAGUGUGAGUGCGUGCGCUCAUUUACCACGAUGAUGUUUAAAUGAAACCGUGUUGACACCAAGAUCGUGCGGGGCGUUGUGCGUUUGUCUCAGGUUAAAAAGUGAACACGUUUCUGUGUCAGCUAUGAAAUGGGAAUUUGAUCAAUAGCCCUACUACAGACAAGCAACAGCAGGAAUGAGUUUAUAAAAAUGAUAAGAAGGAGCUUUGUGAAGUCUUUCACCCAAGAUACAAAGUCAUUUACUUAAUGAUGAAACUCGAUGAGACUGAAGAUCCCACUGGAACGGCGAUGGACACCUGGGCCAGAAUUUAGCCGGUUCUUUUGCGUUUUGCUUUUGCUCCGGUGCAAAAUUCUCAUGGUAACUGGUUAAAUUACAGUAUUCAGGACUGACGCUGCGACUUCUGCAAACUGGAAACGCAUCACUGUACUACAAGUAAUUCAUUUGGAUUAGUCAGUCUGGUCCAGUAUUGUUUUGGUCCAGAAAGCAGGAGGACACCACUUUGUAACCUGGAAACAGGAGGAUCAAAACCCUCAGAUCCCCUGCUGCAGUCAUCUCAAGAAAAGUAUUGAACCUGACUUUCACCAGGAAAACAUACAGCUGAAUAUUUCACAAAACAAAUGUGUGCCAGAAUGUGCCCAUUCAGCGUGGAACUGGCUAUGGAAUGACUUUCCAAUGGAAACGAUGACUCUGGAUUUUUCUCACCAGCCAUGGAAAGUGAGAGACAGGGGAGGAUGUGGAUGUCCUGAGGAGGAGCAAGUGAAGAGCAAAUUGAGCAACCUGUAACAAAUCAUGAAUAAAACGGAA